GGAGUUGUAGCUCAGUGGUAGAGUGCCUGCCUAGCAUGACUGGAGGCACUGGGUUUGAUCCUCAGCACCA
This 70-nucleotide transfer RNA is filed under the name Marmota monax (woodchuck). RNAcentral's name for it is "tRNA.Ala". Lineage: Eukaryota; Metazoa; Chordata; Mammalia; Rodentia; Sciuridae. The record is from RNAcentral.